UUUCUUCUGCUGCAAAAUAUUAUAAAGUUAUUAUUACUUUGAGGUACUUUGAGAUAUUUCAAGAGAACGGAGAUAUGAACCCUCAAAUUCCACCCCGUCUCCACUUUCGCUGUUCCUUCACGUCACAAAGACACAGAAUCUGAAAUAUGUUACGUAUUUUUUUUAAUUUUUUUUCACAAUACGCGCCAUUUAACUACUGAGUCGUCCUACAGUAGAAUUUCAUAACCAAAGCGGGCGUAGUUGCUUUGCGGACAUCUAUUCAAAAUGCGAUUUUAUAAAGAUCUUGGGUGCCCUCCUCUACAGCAGGGAUGCGGGAACAAUGCGUUGGAUGUGGAUUCUGCACGUAGAAAACAAAUUACACGCACAUUUGCUACGGGUAAGAUGGGACCAGUCCUAAGCUGGUUUCUUGUGCGCAGGUUCUGGAAGGUGUGGAGCUCGUACCCCUAUUGGCCCGCAGAAGAGCCGUGGCCGAUAGACACCCUCUUUCCUCCACAGACGUAACCCGGAUCAGAAACUUCAAAGGACCCGCGGAUUGUCAGCGAGCGGUAGGAACCCACGAGUAUGUCCAGGAGUUGUCCCAGCAAGUGAUGACCAAGAAGGACCGCGUACAGAAAGCCCACCAGGAGGAGCUAGACAGCUGCCGGCGCCAUUUCGAAACCUGGCAGCAAUUCUGGGGGCGCCCGGGGCACGGGGCCCCACGCGAUGUCAAAGUCAAAGGAAACAUUGACAUCCUGCUGCAUCGGCUUCCAGUGAACUGAUGAGAAAUUCGAAUAUCCUGCCACUUCUCGUGUUUCCGAAGAACGACUUCGUUUAAAAAUGUGUACUAUAAUGAUGAAUAUUUUGGAAAUUUUAGUUAUACGAAAGUCCUGUAGGCGUCUUCACCUGUUUGUAAUGGUGAUGACAGUUUUAUAAAUUUCAGCUCAUAGGGCUUCGACAGAUACCAACUCCUCCGACUACCAGACGUAGGGACACAUUAAAUUUACUGUGUAGUUACAGAUGAAAAACUAAAAUUCAAUUCUCGAGUUCCGUGUUAAAAACACAAAUUUAUAUAUAAAAAAAAUUACAUUUACGAGUGAUCCGUCUCUUAAAUAUUUGACAUUUAGUCUCGAAAUCACCGCGACAGAACUCGAGUUGCGUUGACGCAUUCCAGAAGUAAGAGUAGCUACGUGUUCCCUGACGUGCAAGAGGGGCUUCAGCGCGUACAAUCGCGAAUGCAAUCAGCCUGCGUUUAUCUCCGGUGGCAUGUCGGACCGCGUAAUCGCCCGGAGAUACUCCUUCUGGAUCUAAACCUGUCUUGCACGAAAGGCAACGCAGUUACAUGCAGGUCAUCAGGUCGCCGAGGCAAGGCGCUGGCCGUCAAAGAGAAAAUGAACGCAGGUGUUGACUGACGGAUGUUUUGGAAAUCUGCACGUGUUUGACUGUCGCCAGCUAACGAGGUUCGUGAUUUGUACAAAGAUGCGUUGUAGCUUAUUCUUUUUGGGCCCGGGAGAUUAUAAAUCCUUCGAAACUGUGGCGGAAUCAGAACCAUUGGGAACGAUAGCAAAAUCAAAAUUACAUUCACGAAAAGUGAAGGAGGGAUAAUAUUUGGGGAGUUGUUGUUACCUUGCAGUUCAGAAUCUUCUGCCUUGCGGCGUCUCGCAUAAAAAUACGUAAAGGUGUCCGUGAGGGAGUGUGAGAGCAGGUUGCCGGGAAGAAUAUUUCGACCUAACGAGAGAGUGGACACUUCAGAGUUUCUAAAAUUCAUUAAAUAUUAUUAGGAGGUCUAAAUCAAGGGGGUUGAGACGUAACCUUACAUGGUACUGUAAUACUAACAUUGAUAUUGAGGAAAUUGGAAGUGAGAGAGUGGAGUGGAUUCAUCUGGCUCAGGAUAUGGUACAGUUCCAGGUUCUCGUGAAAACGGCAAUGCAAAUUUUGGUUCCGUAAAAGGAUAGUUUUUUUUUUUUAAAAAAAAUUAGCCUAGAAAGAAGGAGUCUACUGUCUUGAGCUAUAUAAGUGGAUGAUAUGGCCCGCGUUAAUUUUCGUGACAGUAAAUGCGAAACUUAGUAACAAAACUUGAAAAACAGAACGAGUAAUUACGAAAAUUGACGUCAUAACCGUGGAUUUUUUUUAAGUGUAAGGCAAUAUACGUAGGCGUGAAAAAAGUGUUAACUUUGAAGACGAAUUCUUCUUACUUGCAGCCGUGUGGACCUGAAAUCUCACCUAAUACGCGCCUUGACUUGGCUGCGGUGACUUAGCGUGCAGCUAAGAUGUUUCCAGCCAAUUUCACUCUCUGUGUUUACUUUCUGGCUUCAACCAUCCGCCCAGCUGCAGGUGGACGUACAGGGCGAUAACUUUUAUAACGGAUGCCUGCGUUACCGGACCCGAGCGGACAAAUUCUCGCCAAGGACACUCGCACUUGCCUAUCAAAAACAUAAUAUCUUUCAAUUUGCUUUCUGAAUAAAAUAUGUUAAUAUUUUAAUAUUUUCCGUCAAAUAACAAUUUUAAUACGAUAAUAAAAUAUAAAAUAUUUAAAAUAUUUUAUUAUCUUAUUAAAAUUGUGAUUUGACGGAAAAUAUUAAAAUAUUAACCUAAUUCACAAUAUGACGCAAAUAUACUACCUUAUAAAAUAUGUUAGUACGUACAUAAAGUAUCUAAAAGAAUUAUGAUCAUAUUUUAUUCUCUUGUCACAGAAAACAACUCUGUGAUAUAACAGAAAAAAACACUUAAUAUUUAACUUAUGACCUGAGCUCUAGAAUUUAUAAUUCAGACAGCAAAUGAAACUUUUGGGACAUAAAUUCAAAGUGAAAGUUCGGACGUACUUCUGAUCUUUAUCCCCCGAAUUUCCUCACGAUUCUUCAUGCCCUAUAACUUUGUUGUUUCGUGUGCCCUUCUUGCAUUAUUGUUAUACGGAAGUGACUUAGAAAUAAAUUGGCGCAUGCGUGUUGCCGAACAUUAGGCGAUGUAAUAGUUCCCACGGUGUGACGAAAUAAUUUUAGUUCAACGUCAAACAAUAUUACGUCACCAGAUAAUUUUAACGAAGCGCUAUCAGUGUACACGUUCAAGAGACGUGUAAGCAAUAAUACUAACCGGUCGCCAUAAUAAGACUCUUAAUAAAUGUAGAAAGUAGAAGUUAGCGUGUUUUUGUGAACACCCGGUAUUCCUAUGACAAUCAGUCACUGGGUGUAAAAGGACCUUCCUUUCGUAUCACCUGAUACAUAUCAAAUUAUGAUAAUGCAGAAAACUGCCCUUAUGCACUUCCUUUUUCGUUUAUUUCUUGUUGGUAACACUGUUCAGCGUUUGUUUUGUUUAAUCCAUUAUCAAAUGUUCACAGUUACGAAAAAUUAUAUGUACCGAUAUAUUUAGAGUUACAAUGUUUGUGAGAAAUAUAUAUAAUGUACGUUGAAUUGUUGUUAGAUUCUGUUACUUGUAAUGUUAAUGACACGUUUUAUGUUUAUAGACAGAAAUAUAAAUGUUUUGUGCAGAAA
Non-coding RNA from Zootermopsis nevadensis, 3464 nucleotides. The record is from RefSeq and is a predicted model, not a curated record. Lineage: Eukaryota; Metazoa; Arthropoda; Insecta; Blattodea; Termopsidae.